RNAcentral lists this long non-coding RNA (552 nucleotides) under Homo sapiens (human). Its description in RNAcentral is "HSALNT0066000". The record is from RNAcentral. Lineage: Eukaryota; Metazoa; Chordata; Mammalia; Primates; Hominidae.
AAUUUAUCAGCCUCCCCAGAUCUAAGCAAAAGCAGCAGAAAAGAUCUAGAUGGAGUUUCACUUUCGUUGCCUAGUCUGGACUGGAAUGGUGUGAUCUUGUCUCACUGCAACCUCCGCCUCCUGGGUUCAAGCAAUUCUCCUGCCUCAGCCUCCCGAGUAGCUGGGAUUACAGGUUCGUUCCCCCAUGCCCAGCUAAUUUUUGUGUUUUUUUAGUAGAGACGGGGUUUCACCAUGUCCGCCAGGCUGGUCUUGAAUUCCUGACCUCAAGUGAUCCGUCCGCCUCGACCUCCCAAAGUGCUGAGAUUACAGGCAUGAGCCACCGCGCCCGGCCGAUGUUUUCAUUCUUCCAGCACUUCUCUCUCCUCAUUCUUCCUUGUAAACCCGAAUCACAGCUCCUCCUCAAAAAUCACUCCUGAGGUCUCAGCCGUCAUCUCUAGCCACCAUCAUAAAACACUAGACUUCUGCCAACCCAUAACUUCUUCCAUGCCCUGUCACUAACUUGCUCUGUGAUUCUGGGAAAGUCUGGCCUCUUUCUGGACCUCAGUCCUUUCA